GACGAACGCUGGCGGCGUGCUUAACACAUGCAAGUCGAACGGUAAGGCCCUUUCGGGGGUACACGAGUGGCGAACGGGUGAGUAACACGUGGGUAAUCUGCCCUGCACUCUGGGAUAAGCCUGGGAAACUGGGUCUAAUACCGGAUAUGAGCCUUCAUCGCAUGGUGGGGGUUGGAAAGUUUUUUCGGUGCAGGAUGUGCCCGCGGCCUAUCAGCUUGUUGGUGGGGUAAUGGCCUACCAAGGCGACGACGGGUAGCCGGCCUGAGAGGGUGAUCGGCCACACUGGGACUGAGACACGGCCCAGACUCCUACGGGAGGCAGCAGUGGGGAAUAUUGCACAAUGGGCGGAAGCCUGAUGCAGCGACGCCGCGUGGGGGGAUGACGGUCUUCGGAUUGUAAACCCCUUUCAGUAGGGACGAAGCGCAAGUGACGGUACCUGCAGAAGAAGCACCGGCCAACUACGUGCCAGCAGCCGCGGUAAU
RNAcentral lists this ribosomal RNA (482 nucleotides) under uncultured bacterium. RNAcentral's name for it is "bacterial SSU rRNA". It matches the Rfam family "Bacterial small subunit ribosomal RNA", at positions 28 to 524 of the family's 1533-position model. The record is from RNAcentral.